UACAGAGGGCUCAAGCGUUGUUCGGAUUCAUUGGGCGUAAAGGGUGCGUAGGCGGUCGGGUAAGUCUGACGUGAAAUCUUCAAGCUCAACUUGGAAACUGCGUCGGAUACUAUUCGGCUCGAGGAAUGGAGGGGAGACUGGAAUUCUCGGUGUAGCAGUGAAAUGCGUAGAUAUCGAGAGGAACACCAGUGGCGAAGGCGAGUCGCUGGACAUUUCCUGACGCUGAGGCACGAAAGCCAGGGGAGCAAACGGG
This 253-nucleotide ribosomal RNA is filed under the name uncultured bacterium. Its description in RNAcentral is "partial 16S ribosomal RNA". It matches the Rfam family "Bacterial small subunit ribosomal RNA", at positions 524 to 776 of the family's 1533-position model. The record is from RNAcentral.